AUGUGUGCCAGAAAGCAUGAAGGGGGAAUGGGGUUCAGAGAUCUAGAGGCUUUCAACCAAGCUAUGCUUGCCAAACAAGCGUGGCGACUGUUCCAGGAACCAGAUUCAUUAUGUGCACGAGUCUUGAAAGCCCGGUAUUAUGUUGAUGGAUCUAUUUUGAAUGCAACUUGUCCAAGUGGUGGCUCAUAUACUUUCAAGAGUAUUUUGCAUGGG
RNAcentral lists this ribosomal RNA (213 nucleotides) under Triticum aestivum (bread wheat). RNAcentral describes it as "partial small subunit ribosomal RNA". The record is from RNAcentral. Lineage: Eukaryota; Viridiplantae; Streptophyta; Magnoliopsida; Poales; Poaceae.